This 472-nucleotide ribosomal RNA is filed under the name uncultured bacterium. RNAcentral describes it as "bacterial SSU rRNA". It matches the Rfam family "Bacterial small subunit ribosomal RNA", at positions 355 to 825 of the family's 1533-position model. The record is from RNAcentral.
UGGGGAAUUUUGGACAAUGGGCGAAAGCCUGAUCCAGCAAUGCCGCGUGCAGGAAGAAGGCCUUCGGGUUGUAAACUGCUUUUGUACGGAACGAAAAGGCUCUUUCUAAUAAAGAGGGCCCAUGACGGUACCGUAAGAAUAAGCACCGGCUAACUACGUGCCAGCAGCCGCGGUAAUACGUAGGGUGCGAGCGUUAAUCGGAAUUACUGGGCGUAAAGCGUGCGCAGGCGGUUCUAUAAGACAGAUGUGAAAUCCCCGGGCUCAACCUGGGAAUGGCAUUUGUGACUGUAGAGCUAGAGUACGGUAGAGGGGGAUGGAAUUCCGCGUGUAGCAGUGAAAUGCGUAGAUAUGCGGAGGAACACCGGUGGCGAAGGCGGCUAUCUGGUCGAGUACUGACACUGAGACACGAAAGCAUGGGGAUCAAACAGGAUUAGAUACCCCCGUAGUCCCUGAGCGGGCUGGCAAGGCGCAU